RNAcentral lists this long non-coding RNA (1077 nucleotides) under Citrus x clementina. RNAcentral's name for it is "Citrus clementina (C. clementina) long non-coding RNA (CCLE_LNC000305)". Lineage: Eukaryota; Viridiplantae; Streptophyta; Magnoliopsida; Sapindales; Rutaceae. The record is from RNAcentral.
GAUAAUUUUAAAGAUAAUUAUCUCAAAUAAAAACAUAUCUUGAUCCUCAAAAUUUAACCACUAAUGUAAUUCAACCAUUAACUUUUUUUUAAAAUGUAAUGUUAAACACUUUUUUUAAUUUCUUUUUAUUUCUAAACUUGAAAUGCUUAGAAAAGGGGGGCAAAAAAGUUUCUCUAAUUUUACAAAAAGGAAAUUAUGAAUGAAUCACCCUCUUAUAUCAAAAGUUCAUAUAACUAGGAUUGGACAUCGGAUUGGAUUCCGAUACGUUUGAUUCGAUCCAAUCUGAACAAAUUCAAAUUAAAUUCAGAUUUUAUCCAAAAUCCGAUCGGAUGUAAUUUUUAUUAUUCAAUCGGAUUUGAUUCAAAACGGAUCAAAUUCAGAUUGAUCCGAACUCAGAUUGCACUACUUAUUGAAAAAUAAAAUAAUUUAAUAUAAAAGCCAAUUAACAAAAUCUUUCAGUUCGUCAUCAUUAUCUCUUCAAAUCAUCAAUGAAUCAAGCUCUAACACCUCUCAAUAAUAGCAACAAGAAUGGACGUCUCCUUCAACAUCAACCCAUCAUCGUCAAUUUAUCAUCAUUCGCCGAAGCCCACUCCCGUAAAUACAACCUCCUCCAUAUAACUAUAAGCAACUCAAGCUUCAACUUCCUCACCCUCUCCCUUUGCCUCUUCCCUCCCUCGUUGACUUCUUCCUCAUCCUCCUCCCCGUCCUCACCAUCCUCACCGCCGUCUCCUCCAUCUCCAUCUUUACCUCCUUCUCCAACAAGUACUACGCCAGCCACAUAGUUGCCAUCGUCCUCACCGGCAUCUUCCAAGGCUCUGUCUCUGUCACGAUACUCUUCUCAUGGCGCUGUCAUUCUCAAAUACACUGAUGCUCUCUCUAUUUUGAUCUUUUUCUUGGAAUGGUCAUGCUUGCAAUUAGGGUGUGUUUGGGAUUGCGGUUGGGCAGAAGUUACAGCACUAGAUUAUUUAAUAAAUACUAAUUGUUAUAACUUAAAAAUUAUGUUGAUAUAAUUUUUUAUUUAUAUGAUGUAAAAUUUAUUAUAUUUUUAAUAAUUUUAUUAAAAUUAUUAUUUUAAAU